AUAACAAUAUGGAACACUUUUGAGAUUGCGUAAUAUGUGCACACUAAAUCCUUUAAUGGGGAUUAAGUGGAGGGCGAGUCUGGUGCCAGUGGCCGUAGGAAUUUCAGCUCCAA
Molecule: ribosomal RNA, 113 nt
Filed under: Stegodyphus mimosarum
Lineage: Eukaryota; Metazoa; Arthropoda; Arachnida; Araneae; Eresidae
Description: eukaryotic small subunit ribosomal RNA
Source: RNAcentral